Molecule: ribosomal RNA, 253 nt
Filed under: uncultured bacterium
Lineage: Bacteria
Description: partial 16S ribosomal RNA
Rfam family: Bacterial small subunit ribosomal RNA
Source: RNAcentral
GACGGAGGAUGCAAGCGUUAUCCGGAAUGAUUGGGCGUAAAGCGUCCGCAGGUGGCAGUUCAAGUCUGCUGUCAAAGACCGGGGCUUAACUUCGGAAAGGCAGUGGAAACUGAACAGCUAGAGUAUGGUAGGGGCAGAGGGAAUUCCUGGUGUAGCGGUGAAAUGCGUAGAGAUCGGGAAGAACACCCGUGGCGAAGGCGGCCAGCUGGGCCGGUUCUGACGCUGAGGCGCGAAAGCGUGGGGAGCAAACAGG